Molecule: ribosomal RNA, 1144 nt
Filed under: Vibrio sp.
Lineage: Bacteria; Pseudomonadati; Pseudomonadota; Gammaproteobacteria; Vibrionales; Vibrionaceae
Description: bacterial SSU rRNA
Rfam family: Bacterial small subunit ribosomal RNA
Source: RNAcentral
CUAGCUGGUCUGAGAGGAUGAUCAGCCACACUGGAACUGAGACACGGUCCAGACUCCUACGGGAGGCAGCAGUGGGGAAUAUUGCACAAUGGGCGCAAGCCUGAUGCAGCCAUGCCGCGUGUGUGAAGAAGGCCUUCGGGUUGUAAAGCACUUUCAGUCGUGAGGAAGGCAGUACAGUUAAUAGCUGUAUUGUUUGACGUUAGCGACAGAAGAAGCACCGGCUAACUCCGUGCCAGCAGCCGCGGUAAUACGGAGGGUGCGAGCGUUAAUCGGAAUUACUGGGCGUAAAGCGCAUGCAGGUGGUUUGUUAAGUCAGAUGUGAAAGCCCGGGGCUCAACCUCGGAAUAGCAUUUGAAACUGGCAGACUAGAGUACUGUAGAGGGGGGUAGAAUUUCAGGUGUAGCGGUGACAUGCGUAGAGAUCUGAAGGAAUACCGGUGGCGAAGGCGGCCCCCUGGACAGAUACUGACACUCAGAUGCGAAAGCGUGGGGAGCCAACAGGAUUAGAUACCCUGGUAGUCCACGCCGUAAACGAUGUCUACUUGGAGGUUGUGGCCUUGAGCCGUGGCUUUCGGAGCUAACGCGUUAAGUAGACCGCCUGGGGAGUACGGUCGCAAGAUUAAAACUCAAAUGAAUUGACGGGGGCCCGCACAAGCGGUGGAGCAUGUGGUUUAAUUCGAUGCAACGCGAAGAACCUUACCUACUCUUGACAUCCAGAGAAGCCAGCGGAGACGCAGGUGUGCCUUCGGGAGCUCUGAGACAGGUGCUGCAUGGCUGUCGUCAGCUCGUGUUGUGAAAUGUUGGGUUAAGUCCCGCAACGAGCGCAACCCUUAUCCUUGUUUGCCAGCGAGUAAUGUCGGGAACUCCAGGGAGACUGCCGGUGAUAAACCGGAGGAAGGUGGGGACGACGUCAAGUCAUCAUGGCCCUUACGAGUAGGGCUACACACGUGCUACAAUGGCGCAUACAGAGGGCAGCCAACUUGCGAAAGUGAGCGAAUCCCAAAAAGUGCGUCGUAGUCCGGAUUGGAGUCUGCAACUCGACUCCAUGAAGUCGGAAUCGCUAGUAAUCGUGGAUCAGAAUGCCACGGUGAAUACGUUCCCGGGCCUUGUACACACCGCCCGUCACACCAUGGGAGUGGGCUGCA